This 400-nucleotide ribosomal RNA is filed under the name uncultured bacterium. RNAcentral describes it as "bacterial SSU rRNA". It matches the Rfam family "Bacterial small subunit ribosomal RNA", at positions 355 to 771 of the family's 1533-position model. The record is from RNAcentral.
UGAGGAAUAUUGCACAAUGGGGGCAACCCUGAUGCAGCGACGCCGCGUGGGUGACGAAGGUCUUCGGAUCGUAAAGCCCUUUUCUGCGUGACGAGCAAGGACGGUAGCGCAGGAAUAAGUCUCGGCUAACUACGUGCCAGCAGCCGCGGUAAAACGUAGGAGACGAACGUUAUCCGGAGUUACUGGGCGUAAAGGGCGUGCAGGCGGCUGAUUAAGUCUGUUGUGAAACACUCCGGCUCAACCGGGGAAGGGCGAUAGAUACUGGUCAGCUCGAGGGCGGUAGAGGCGUGUGGAAUUCCGGGUGUAGUGGUGAAAUGCGUAGAUAUCCGGAGGAACACCAGUGGCGAAGGCGACACGCUGGGCCGCACCUGACGCUAAGACGCGACAGCAUGGGGAGCGA